UCCGAGUUGACCCCGGCAGUCUCCUGCGAGUCCCCGCCAUUACGCGCUGGCAACACAGGACAAGGGUUGCGCUCGUUGCGGGACUUAACCCAACAUCUCACGACACGAGCUGACGACAGCCAUGCACCACCUGUGCACAGGCCCCGAAGGACACCAUAUCUCUAUGGCUUUUCCGUACAUUUCAAGCCUUGGUAAGGUGGGGAUGACGUAUUGGAAG
Molecule: unclassified non-coding RNA, 217 nt
Filed under: uncultured Acidimicrobiia bacterium
Lineage: Bacteria; Bacillati; Actinomycetota; Acidimicrobiia
Description: contains 16S-23S intergenic spacer region
Source: RNAcentral